This 1540-nucleotide ribosomal RNA is filed under the name Staphylococcus aureus SCOA6009. RNAcentral's name for it is "16S ribosomal RNA". It matches the Rfam family "Bacterial small subunit ribosomal RNA". The record is from RNAcentral. Lineage: Bacteria; Bacillati; Bacillota; Bacilli; Caryophanales; Staphylococcaceae.
AGAGUUUGAUCCUGGCUCAGGAUGAACGCUGGCGGCGUGCCUAAUACAUGCAAGUCGAGCGAACGGACGAGAAGCUUGCUUCUCUGAUGUUAGCGGCGGACGGGUGAGUAACACGUGGAUAACCUACCUAUAAGACUGGGAUAACUUCGGGAAACCGGAGCUAAUACCGGAUGAUAUUUUGAACCGCAUGGUUCAAAAGUGAAAGACGGUCUUGCUGUCACUUAUAGAUGGAUCCGCGCUGCAUUAGCUAGUUGGUAAGGUAACGGCUUACCAAGGCAACGAUGCAUAGCCGACCUGAGAGGGUGAUCGGCCACACUGGAACUGAGACACGGUCCAGACUCCUACGGGAGGCAGCAGUAGGGAAUCUUCCGCAAUGGGCGAAAGCCUGACGGAGCAACGCCGCGUGAGUGAUGAAGGUCUUCGGAUCGUAAAACUCUGUUAUUAGGGAAGAACAUAUGUGUAACUAACUGUGCACAUCUUGACGGUACCUAAUCAGAAAGCCACGGCUAACUACGUGCCAGCAGCCGCGGUAAUACGUAGGUGGCAAGCGUUAUCCGGAAUUAUUGGGCGUAAAGCGCGCGUAGGCGGUUUUUUAAGUCUGAUGUGAAAGCCCACGGCUCAACCGUGGAGGGUCAUUGGAAACUGGAAAACUUGAGUGCAGAAGAGGAAAGUGGAAUUCCAUGUGUAGCGGUGAAAUGCGCAGAGAUAUGGAGGAACACCAGUGGCGAAGGCGACUUUCUGGUCUGUAACUGACGCUGAUGUGCGAAAGCGUGGGGAUCAAACAGGAUUAGAUACCCUGGUAGUCCACGCCGUAAACGAUGAGUGCUAAGUGUUAGGGGGUUUCCGCCCCUUAGUGCUGCAGCUAACGCAUUAAGCACUCCGCCUGGGGAGUACGACCGCAAGGUUGAAACUCAAAGGAAUUGACGGGGACCCGCACAAGCGGUGGAGCAUGUGGUUUAAUUCGAAGCAACGCGAAGAACCUUACCAAAUCUUGACAUCCUUUGACAACUCUAGAGAUAGAGCCUUCCCCUUCGGGGGACAAAGUGACAGGUGGUGCAUGGUUGUCGUCAGCUCGUGUCGUGAGAUGUUGGGUUAAGUCCCGCAACGAGCGCAACCCUUAAGCUUAGUUGCCAUCAUUAAGUUGGGCACUCUAAGUUGACUGCCGGUGACAAACCGGAGGAAGGUGGGGAUGACGUCAAAUCAUCAUGCCCCUUAUGAUUUGGGCUACACACGUGCUACAAUGGACAAUACAAAGGGCAGCGAAACCGCGAGGUCAAGCAAAUCCCAUAAAGUUGUUCUCAGUUCGGAUUGUAGUCUGCAACUCGACUACAUGAAGCUGGAAUCGCUAGUAAUCGUAGAUCAGCAUGCUACGGUGAAUACGUUCCCGGGUCUUGUACACACCGCCCGUCACACCACGAGAGUUUGUAACACCCGAAGCCGGUGGAGUAACCUUUUAGGAGCUAGCCGUCGAAGGUGGGACAAAUGAUUGGGGUGAAGUCGUAACAAGGUAGCCGUAUCGGAAGGUGCGGCUGGAUCACCU